RNAcentral lists this ribosomal RNA (872 nucleotides) under uncultured marine group I thaumarchaeote. Its description in RNAcentral is "SSU rRNA". It matches the Rfam family "Archaeal small subunit ribosomal RNA", at positions 27 to 905 of the family's 1478-position model. Lineage: Archaea; Thermoproteati; Nitrososphaerota. The record is from RNAcentral.
CUGCUAUCGGAUGAUACUAAGCCAUGCGAGUCUUUGUAGUAAUACAAGGCAUACGGCUCAGUAACACGUAGUCAACCUACCCUAUGGACAAGAAUAAUCUCGGGAAACUGGGCAUAAUUCUUGAUAGAUCAUAAUGCCUGGAAUGGUUUAUGGUUAAAAUGAUUCGUCGCCAUAGGAUGGGACUGCGGCCUAUCAGCUUGUUGGUGAGGUAAUGGCCCACCAAGGCGAUUACAGGUACGGGCUCUGAGAGGAGAAGCCCGGAGAUGGGUACUGAGACACGGACCCAGGCCCUAUGGGGCGCAGCAGGCGAGAAAACUUUGCAAUGUGCGAAAGCACGACAAGGUUAAUCCGAGUGAUUUCUGCUAAAGAAAUCUUUUGCCAGUCAUAAAACCACUGGUGAAUAAGGGGUGGGCAAGUUCUGGUGUCAGCCGCCGCGGUAAAACCAGCACCUCAAGUGGUCAGGAUGAUUAUUGGGCCUAAAGCAUCCGUAGCCGGCUUUGUAAGUUUUCGGUUAAAUCCAUGUGCUCAACGCAUGGGCUGCCGAAAAUACUGCAUAGCUAGGGAGUGGGAGAGGUAGACGGUACUCAGUAGGAAGGGGUAAAAUCCUUUGAUCUAUUGAUGACCACCUGUGGCGAAGGCGGUCUACCAGAACACGUUCGACGGUGAGGGAUGAAAGCUGGGGGAGCAAACCGGAUUAGAUACCCGGGUAGUCCCAGCUGUAAACGAUGCAGACUCGAUGAUGCAUAGGCAUAAUAGCUAGUGCAGUGUCGCAGGGAAGCCGUUAAGUCUGCCGCCUGGGAAGUACGUACGCAAGUAUGAAACUUAAAGGAAUUGGCGGGGGAGCACCACAAGGGGUGAAGCCUGCGGUCAAU